Molecule: long non-coding RNA, 251 nt
Filed under: Lathyrus oleraceus (garden pea)
Lineage: Eukaryota; Viridiplantae; Streptophyta; Magnoliopsida; Fabales; Fabaceae
Description: Pisum sativum (pea) long non-coding RNA (PSAT_LNC026620)
Source: RNAcentral
UUUUGUGGGAGAGAAGUGUAGAGAUAUAUGAUGAGUGCAGAAAAAAACUAUUCAGAAACCAAACAAAUCCUUAUUCCUCCAUGCCUCACAUAAAAUUAUUUCCGAAAAAAAAAAAACACCUGUAAAUCUCCACACAAAUGCGUGUGGUUUGGGCCCAAUGCCAAUAUUAUACCAUUUGCCAGUACUACUGUGAGUAUAUGGUCUGCCUAGAUUCUUCAAUCACAAUGAUUUUUUUAUGCCCUCUUAUCACA